AGUGAACGCUGGCGGUAGGCCUAACACAUGCAAGUCGAGCGGCAGCACAGUAAGAGCUUGCUCUUACGGGUGGCGAGUGGCGGACGGGUGAGGAAUACAUCGGAAUCUACUUUUUCGUGGGGGAUAACGUAGGGAAACUUACGCUAAUACCGCAUACGACCUACGGGUGAAAGCAGGGGGUCUUCGGACCUUGCGCGAUUGAAUGAGCCGAUGUCGGAUUAGCUAGUUGGCGGGGUAAAGGCCCACCAAGGCGACGAUCCGUAGCUGGUCUGAGAGGAUGAUCAGCCACACUGGAACUGAGACACGGUCCAGACUCCUACGGGAGGCAGCAGUGGGGAAUAUUGGACAAUGGGCGCAAGCCUGAUCCAGCCAUACCGCGUGGGUGAAGAAGGCCUUCGGGUUGUAAAGCCCUUUUGUUGGGAAAGGAAAGCAGCAGGUUAAUACCCCGCUGUUCUGACGGUACCCAAAGAAUAAGCACCGGCUAACUUCGUG
RNAcentral lists this ribosomal RNA (492 nucleotides) under uncultured bacterium. RNAcentral describes it as "partial 16S ribosomal RNA". It matches the Rfam family "Bacterial small subunit ribosomal RNA", at positions 29 to 507 of the family's 1533-position model. The record is from RNAcentral.